RNAcentral lists this transfer RNA (74 nucleotides) under Saccoloma inaequale. RNAcentral's name for it is "tRNA-Trp". It matches the Rfam family "tRNA". From Rfam's summary of the family: Transfer RNA (tRNA) molecules are approximately 80 nucleotides in length. Their secondary structure includes four short double-helical elements and three loops (D, anti-codon, and T loops). The record is from RNAcentral. Lineage: Eukaryota; Viridiplantae; Streptophyta; Polypodiopsida; Polypodiales; Saccolomataceae.
GCGCUCUUAGUUCAGUCCGGUAGAACGCGGGUCUCCAAAACCCGAUGUCGUAGGUUCAAAUCCUAUAGGGCGUG